GACGAACGCUGGCGGCGUGCUUAACACAUGCAAGUCGAACGAAGAGCGAUGGAAGCUUGCUUCUAUCAAUCUUAGUGGCGAACGGGUGAGUAACGCGUAAUCAACCUGCCCUUCAGAGGGGGACAACAGUUGGAAACGACUGCUAAUACCGCAUACGAUCUAAUCUCGGCAUCGAGGAUAGAUGAAAGGUGGCCUCUACAUGUAAGCUAUCACUGAAGGAGGGGAUUGCGUCUGAUUAGCUAGUUGGAGGGGUAACGGCCCACCAAGGCGAGGAUCAGUAGCCGGUCGGAGAGGAGGAACGGCCACAUUGGGACGGAGACACGGCCCAGACUCCUACGGGAGGCAGCAGUGGGGAAUCUUCCGCAAUGGACGAAAGUCUGACGGAGCAACGCCGCGUGAGUGAUGACGGCCUUCGGGUUGUAAAGCUCUGUUAAUCGGGACGAAAGGCCUUCUUGCGAAUAGUGAGAAGGAUUGACGGUACCGGAAUAGAAAGCCACGGCUAACUACGUG
This 510-nucleotide ribosomal RNA is filed under the name uncultured bacterium. RNAcentral's name for it is "partial 16S ribosomal RNA". It matches the Rfam family "Bacterial small subunit ribosomal RNA", at positions 28 to 507 of the family's 1533-position model. The record is from RNAcentral.